GCGGAAGUGGUGAAAUUGGUAUACACGCUACUUUGAGGGGGUAGUACCCGUUAGGGUGUGCGGGUUCGAGUCCCGCCUUCCGCACCC
Molecule: transfer RNA, 87 nt
Filed under: Ignavibacteria bacterium
Lineage: Bacteria; Pseudomonadati; Ignavibacteriota; Ignavibacteria
Description: tRNA-Leu
Rfam family: tRNA
About the family: Transfer RNA (tRNA) molecules are approximately 80 nucleotides in length. Their secondary structure includes four short double-helical elements and three loops (D, anti-codon, and T loops).
Source: RNAcentral